RNAcentral lists this ribosomal RNA (491 nucleotides) under uncultured bacterium. RNAcentral describes it as "partial 16S ribosomal RNA". It matches the Rfam family "Bacterial small subunit ribosomal RNA", at positions 29 to 507 of the family's 1533-position model. The record is from RNAcentral.
GUGCACGCUGGCGGUAGGCCCAACACAUGCCAGUCGAACGGCAGCACAGUAAGAGCUUGCUCUUACGGGUGGCGAGUGGCGGACGGGUGAGGAAUACAUCGGAAUCUACUUUUUCGUGGGGGAUAACGUAGGGAAACUUACGCUAAUACCGCAUACGACCUACGGGUGAAAGCAGGGGAUCUUCGGACCUUGCGCGAUUGAAUGAGCCGAUGUCGGAUUAGCUAGUUGGCGGGGUAAAGGCCCACCAAGGCGACGAUCCGUAGCUGGUCUGAGAGGAUGAUCAGCCACACUGGAACUGAGACACGGUCCAGACUCCUACGGGAGGCAGCAGUGGGGAAUAUUGGACAAUGGGCGCAAGCCUGAUCCAGCCAUACCGCGUGGGUGAAGAAGGCCUUCGGGUUGUAAAGCCCUUUUGUUGGGAAAGAAAAGCAGCAGGUUAAUACCCCGCUGUUCUGACGGUACCCAAAGAAUAAGCACCGGCUAACUUCGUG